UCCUAAAGCUCACAAUGCAUGCAGAGCGAGAUGCCGAUACUAGCCAUUACCAGACGGAAAUUCUGCUUGAUUGGGGAGGCGACUCGACACAUAAUUUUUGGACAGGCUCUCCUCUGUCAGAGUCGGGCUGUAUGAAAGAGUCUGAUCCCGUCUACAUUUCCCCCGGGAGGAGCAUGCCUCACCGAGUGUGGCUGUCGACGCCAGAGUGAACUCACCGCGAGCCUCCUGGGACAAGCCUUCAAUGAAGAGGAAAUGGUCCAAAGCAAGGUGUGUCUGGUGACAGGUGUGAGGGGUCUCCCUGUUCAUGAGCACCAUCUGGCUUGCACUCCCUGCAAAGCAAAUUGACCCAGAGUCGGUGCUGAUCAAGCGAUGCCUGCGCUUCUGAGGGUAUCGACCCGUGGUCUUCCUGGUUAUUAAAGUGACGGCGAGUCUCUCUGAAUGGAGGUUUCCGGGGGUCGGGUUAACUGCAGAUUGUGCUUCUGCAGGACCUCUCAAUCAGUUUUUUUUUUUUUUUCUCUGAACUAUUAUCCACUGAUGAAAGUGCCAAGAGGCAUAAAGCUACAAUGAAAUGGCAGUCAGAAACAGUCUUACCGUAUUGC
Molecule: long non-coding RNA, 599 nt
Organism: Osmerus eperlanus (European smelt)
Lineage: Eukaryota; Metazoa; Chordata; Actinopteri; Osmeriformes; Osmeridae
Exons: 3
Source: RefSeq, a predicted model, not a curated record